Long non-coding RNA from Neomonachus schauinslandi (Hawaiian monk seal), 329 nucleotides. RefSeq lists it as uncharacterized. NCBI's taxonomy places the organism in Eukaryota, Metazoa, Chordata, Mammalia, Carnivora, Phocidae. The transcript has 3 exons. The record is from RefSeq and is a predicted model, not a curated record.
UUGUUUCCUCCAGGACCCACUGUGUACCCCUGGGGUGCACCUAAGCUUGUUUGAGAAGCAUGGACCUAUGGCUGAGCUCACUGAAGAAGAUGAGGGAGAAGAGGUCCAGAGCUGACCUAGCUUGCGGAGGCCACCCAGUCGAGUUCAUCAUCCAGCACCCACUGAUGCAAAUAGCUCUGAACUCACUGUGUGCAUGAAUCUACUUGCUAUGUCCACAUAUGUAUUUUUUUGGCCACUUACCUGUAGAAAGAUUAUGAACAGAAUAGAGGUUAAAAAAAAAAAGAACAGAGAUGAAAACUAACUGAAGAUCUUAAGGGCCCAGAGGAUUA